GACGAACGCUGGCGGCGCGCUUAACACAUGCAAGUCGAACGGUGAAGCGCCUUCCUUUUUGGUGGGUGUGGAUGAGUGGCGAACGGGUGAGUAACACGUGAGUAACCUGCCCCCUUCUUCUGGAUAACCGCAUGAAAGUGUGGCUAAUACGGGAUAUUCUGGGUCUGUCGCAUGAUGGGUCUGGGAAAGAUAUUGUUUCGGUGGGGGAUGGGCUCGCGGCCUAUCAGCUUGUUGGUGGGGUGAUGGCCUACCAAGGCGGUGACGGGUAGCCGGCCUGAGAGGGUGGACGGUCACACUGGGACUGAGACACGGCCCAGACUCCUACGGGAGGCAGCAGUGGGGAAUAUUGCACAAUGGGCGCAAGCCUGAUGCAGCGACGCCGCGUGAGGGAUGGAGGCCUUCGGGUUGUGAACCUCUUUCGCCAGUGAAGCAGGCCUGCCUCGUUUGUGGGUGGGUUGACGGUAGCUGGAUAAGAAGCGCCGGCUAACUACGU
This 493-nucleotide ribosomal RNA is filed under the name uncultured bacterium. RNAcentral's name for it is "partial 16S ribosomal RNA". It matches the Rfam family "Bacterial small subunit ribosomal RNA", at positions 28 to 506 of the family's 1533-position model. The record is from RNAcentral.